UGUCUCUCUCUCUCUGUCGAUCUCCGCCGAUCUCUGUCUGUCUCUCUCUGCCGAUCUCUCUCUGUCGAUCGCCCCCCAAACGCUUCGUCUCUCUCCGGAAUUCUAGAGAGAGAAACACCAAGCCCUCCCAAAUGCCUCUUAUCGCACACAUUGCCAUUAUUUGAACAACAACACAAAUACAGUUUGAUUCGAUUGUAGGAGCUCUUCGCAAUUUUCAUUCCUCUCUUUCUCUACUCGAAAACAUCAACAGAUCUGGACUUGGGUAACUUCUUAGCUCCAAUUCGAUCAGUGACCAAGUAGCAGUUGGCCGUGCACUUGAUCUUCUUGUGUACUUUGGUGAAACUGGUAGUUGAGAGGUGCUCCAUAAAGUUGGUGUUGAAGGAGCAUGUGCAACAACAAUAACUUUAGAUACCCCCGGUGCAAACUAUAGAACAGUGUGGGCUUUGAGCAAGUAUUUCCUUAAUGUAAAGACAUUUGUCCGUGCUCAUGACGUUGAUCAUGGCCUCAAUUUGGAAAAGGUUGUCCCCGAGACGUUCGAACCUAGUCUCCAACUAUCUGCUGCUGUUCUUACACAAGUAAAAAAUAGUAUCGAUGACACUGAAUUGUAUAAGAUUUUUCACUGCAUGUGCUUUGUAUGUUGUUUGUAUUUAGUACAUACUGCGUAAGUUAUAUUGACGAAUACUAUUUUCCUUUUUUUGCUGAGCAUCGGAAAUUGGUUGCAUGCAUGUACUGCGGAGUCGGAUUGUAACAAAUCAUAAGGAAGCUGAAUAUUAUUUCCAUUGAAUUUGUCACUCACCAUGCUAUGCUAGUAUGCAAUGUAAUUGAUCAAUUUUUGGAUUAACAUUCCAUAAAAUCACUGUAAGAUUAAUCGCUUUUUGGUACAAUCUUAAUGAUUACAGUGCAUCUUAUUGGAUAUUUUAAUUUGAAUUAGUGACUUGCUACAUGCUUACCUUGAGUCUCAAUUCAACUAUUUGUGUACACCAUUUUCAUUAUUGAGCACCUGUUUUAUGUCCAUGCUGGUUCUUUGAUUGAAAAGCAGAAGCGGCUGUUGUUUCUCCGAAGUGUUUUGUGAUUUAUACGAUAUAAUUUCACUUUCACGUGACACACACACACACACACACACACACACAGACGCAUUUGACUCGGUUAACACAUUGAAAACUGAAGGCAUUUGGAUCUGAUUUUGUCGGUCCACCAGCUGCAAUGCAGCAACUCAAACUCUUGUUACUGUUGUUGGUUGAUGCUUUCUUGUGAAAUUAUUAGCAUGUGCUAUGGAAAGUCAAAAACAUUAUAGAAGCUUG
Non-coding RNA from Camellia sinensis, 1301 nucleotides. NCBI's taxonomy places the organism in Eukaryota, Viridiplantae, Streptophyta, Magnoliopsida, Ericales, Theaceae. The record is from RefSeq and is a predicted model, not a curated record.